RNAcentral lists this transfer-messenger RNA (412 nucleotides) under Promineifilum breve (SeqCode). RNAcentral describes it as "Candidatus Promineofilum breve tmRNA". It matches the Rfam family "transfer-messenger RNA". Rfam says of the family: Bacterial tmRNA, also known as 10Sa RNA or SsrA, is named for its dual tRNA and mRNA-like properties. Lineage: Bacteria; Bacillati; Chloroflexota; Ardenticatenia; Promineifilales (SeqCode); Promineifilaceae (SeqCode). The record is from RNAcentral.
GGGGAUGACUGGCUUCGACGGGGAAGGCUGGCCCUGGAUUGCAAGCCGAGCACGCUUCACAUCUCGUAAAACUGGAAGCACACGCAUAAGUGCCAACCGCACCAAUGCCUACAGUGCUCUCCCGAUGGCUGCGUAAAGUAGCUUAGGGAUAGCCAGAUGUUCCCCUAAACAAGGAACCCGUUCGCUUUUGUCCGUUCGUUGGCCGGGCAUUAGCGGGCGACAUUAAUGCCAACGUGCUCCGCGCUAACUCCGAUAGGCGCGGCUAGAGACGCCCUCUCGGGGGCAAUCGGAUAGCGGGCGGCUGACCCAGUUGACCGGGGCGCCCGACCGCCAAACUAAAAGGUCGACUAAGCUUGUAGACAUCUGGAGGUCGAAUUUUUCGGACGCGGGUUCGAUUCCCGCCAUCUCCACU